RNAcentral lists this ribosomal RNA (394 nucleotides) under uncultured bacterium. RNAcentral describes it as "bacterial SSU rRNA". It matches the Rfam family "Bacterial small subunit ribosomal RNA", at positions 29 to 410 of the family's 1533-position model. The record is from RNAcentral.
AACGAACGCUGGCGGCGUGCCUAACACAUGCAAGUCGUGCGAGAAAGUUCCUUCGGGAGCGAGUAAAGCGGCGCACGGGUGAGUAACACGUAGGUAACCUGCCCCCCAGUCUGGAACAACUAGAGGAAACUCUAGCUAAUGCCGGAUGAGACCACGAUCCCUUCGGGGGUUGCGGCCAAAGAUGGCCUCUACUUGUAAGCUAUCGCUGAGGGAUGGGCCUGCGGCCAUUAGUUUGUUGGUGAGGUAACGGCUCACCAAGGCUGUGAUGGCUAGCUGGUCUGAGAGGAUGACCAGCCACACUGGGACUGAGACACGGCCCAGACUCCUACGGGAGCAGCAGUGGGAAUAUUGCGCAAUGGGCGAAGCCUGACGCAGCGACGCCGCGUGGGUGAGU